This 497-nucleotide ribosomal RNA is filed under the name uncultured bacterium. RNAcentral describes it as "partial 16S ribosomal RNA". It matches the Rfam family "Bacterial small subunit ribosomal RNA", at positions 28 to 507 of the family's 1533-position model. The record is from RNAcentral.
GAUGAACGCUGGCGGCGUGCCUAAUACGUGCAAGUCGAGCGAACAGACGAGGAGCUUGCUCCUCUGACGUUAGCGGCGGACGGGUGAGUAACACGUGGAUAACCUACCUAUAAGACUGGGAUAACUUCGGGAAACCGGAGCUAAUACCGGAUAAUAUAUUGAACCGCAUGGUUCAAUAGUGAAAGACGGUUUUGCUGUCACUUAUAGAUGGAUCCGCGCCGCAUUAGCUAGUUGGUAAGGUAACGGCUUACCAAGGCAACGAUACGUAGCCGACCUGAGAGGGUGAUCGGCCACACUGGAACUGAGACACGGUCCAGACUCCUACGGGAGGCAGCAGUAGGGAAUCUUCCGCAAUGGGCGAAAGCUUGACGGAGCAACGCCGCGUGAGUGAUGAAGGUCUUCGGAUCGUAAAACUCUGUUAUUAGGGAAGAACAAAUGUGUAAGUAACUAUGCACGUCUUGACGGUACCUAAUCAGAAAGCCACGGCUAACUACGUG